UACAAUUAUAGUCAUAUGCAGGAUGCAUUUUGAUGAUGUAAGAAUUGAGUUAUUUUUUUUUAUAACAAACGCAUCUAUGUUUUGUUGGAAUAAUCAUGAGGUUAUAUUAUCAGGAAAACUAUCAGAUUGUUCACUUUUAGGGAAGUGCUACAAACAUCAGUACACAGCAGUACAUAGAAUAGCAACUUCAUCUUCAAGAAAUAAGAGGUUGUAAAGUACUUGUGUUACUGCCUUUAUCAUAUACUGUGAUAACAAAUGAUUGCAUACACAAAAUCAUUUAGUGGACCAUAUACGCAUUUGUAAAAAAAUAUCUCCACCAUGGUGAAAACCGAUUACAGAAAAUCCGAAAGAUGAUAGCCAAUUUUGCCAAGUAGCACGAAAAGAUGCCAUCACAAACUAAGGAUCGAGAGGCUAAAUUUAGCAUUUCAUUUGGCAACAAAUACUAUUUUUUUGUUCAUGCAAGACGUUAACUAAAAUGUAUUUAGAAAGAAUUUUAUUUUAGAAAAAAGAAAUUGGCUGGUGUUUAGCCACUUGAAAAUAUCACGAAAAAGUUUAGUAACAAACAAUCAAUACAAACAAGUGAAAUAAAAUGAGAAUAACGAGAUGAAAACACACAAAGAAAAACAAAUGUCAAUAAAAAAAAAACAAGUGUUUGUUGAAAAAGAAUAUCGAAGUAUACACUUGUUGUAACUGCAGAAAAAUUAAAUAAACCACUUUAAAAACGAUUUACAAAAACACAAAUUGAAAAAUAAAUUGCUUUUUCCCGUUUUUAUGACAUACUAUCAAAUUGGUAUGUUGUUCCUAUGGUACAUUAUAUUGCUUAAACAUGAAUAGACAUUUCAUCAUGGUAUGUUGAAUGUGUAGGGAUUGUUGACACAGUUAUAAUUUUUAAAAGAUUAUCUGAGUGUCAAGAAAAAGAUAUAUCUCAAAUAAAGAGAUUAUAAUUUCUAUUUUAUACCUAUUAACAUUUUUGAUAUAUGUCGAAAAAAUGAACUUAUAUUUAUUUGGUUAUUAAAUAUAUGAAUUAGAAAAAUAAAGAAUUCUGUAGUUCA
This is a long non-coding RNA of Mytilus trossulus (common blue mussel), 1052 nucleotides long. RefSeq lists it as uncharacterized. NCBI's taxonomy places the organism in Eukaryota, Metazoa, Mollusca, Bivalvia, Mytilida, Mytilidae. The transcript has 3 exons. The record is from RefSeq and is a predicted model, not a curated record.